Molecule: ribosomal RNA, 301 nt
Filed under: uncultured bacterium
Lineage: Bacteria
Description: partial 16S ribosomal RNA
Rfam family: Bacterial small subunit ribosomal RNA
Source: RNAcentral
CAGCCGCCGCGGUAACACGGAGGGUGCAAGCGUUAAUCGGAAUUACUGGGCGUAAAGCGCACGCAGGCGGUCUGUCAAGUCAGAUGUGAAAUCCCCGGGCUUAACCUGGGAACUGCAUUUGAAACUGGCAGGCUAGAGUCUUGUAGAGGGGGGUAGAAUUCCAGGUGUAGCGGUGAAAUGCGUAGAGAUCUGGAGGAAUACCGGUGGCGAAGGCGGCCCCCUGGACAAAGACUGACGCUGAGGCACGAAAGCGUGGGGAGCAAACAGGAUUAGAGACCCGCGUAGUCCCUGUCUCUUAUAC